Molecule: ribosomal RNA, 254 nt
Filed under: uncultured bacterium
Lineage: Bacteria
Description: partial 16S ribosomal RNA
Rfam family: Bacterial small subunit ribosomal RNA
Source: RNAcentral
UACAGAGGGUGCAAGCGUUGUUCGGAAUUAUUGGGCGUAAAGGGUAGGUAGGUGGUUUAUGUAAGUCUGCUGUGAAAGCCCCGAGCUUAACUUGGGAAGUGCGGCAGAUACUGCUAAACUUGAGUGCCUGAGGGGUGCGUGGAAUUCCCGGUGUAGCGGUGAAAUGCGUAGAUAUCGGGAGGAACAUCAGAGGCGAAGGCGGCGCACUGGAAGGUAACUGACACUCAACUACGAAAGCGUGGGGAGCAAACAGG